ACGCGCGGUGUUCAACUUUAGUCAGCGCCAGGCGCUUACCGAGGAGGGACGUAUCGCUCGCUGUUGCGCCGCGUAAACUCGCCGGAGUUCGAAAAUAUAGCGCAACCUACGCAUCUAACACGUUUUGAUACUAGUGAGUUUUAUUUUAUUUAUUAGUUAUAAUGAUCUGAUUGAAAUGUAAUAUACAUAAGUAUUAGGCCAUGAUAUUCUAAUUCGAAAAUGUUAUAGAUUGGGUUCUCUUUUUUUGAUGUUGGUUAUAAAGAAAUAUGUACGUAAAUGUCAUCGUCGUUAGUUUCGCUGUUGCAUAAUAAUGUAAUUGGACUUCUUUGAUUCUUGCAGGAUAAUGAAAGCAUAUUUAAUUCAGACUAUCAGACUCAAUUGAAUACCAGUACAAAUAAUAUGGAAAAUGAAGAUACAAUACAUGGAAGACGAAUUAUAGAUUUUAGUUUUUUUAUAAAUCAAUUACUUAUAAUUGAUAAACAUGGUGAAAAGUUUGGUUGUCGAUUAAAUAAUUUAAAAAUUGUACACGAUUACUUGUUUAUUGUAACUCAAUCGAGCUAUUCUAGGUUAUAAAAUUCAUCGGUACAAGUAAUAUUUCAUAAACUAUAAAAACAAUAAAUUAGGGUCAUUUCGCCUGUUCGCGACCAUCGCCCAGUUCGCGUCCAUUUUGCCGAUCUCCUUUAAAAAAUCUUCGAAAACAAGAUAAUUAACACACCAAUCAAACGAAAGAUCAUUACCGCUAAUACGUUAAUGUAUAAGAGGCACGCACAGAUAGACAAACGUUCUGUGCGUCCAACCAAUCCUUUUAGAAAAAAUAAUUAGUCUAGGCUCUUCAACAAGAAAGCGCAAACACGUUGAAUUUUAGAUAAAAAUUAGUGUGCAGCGGCGUGUUUGAUGGUAAGUUUUAUAUUGUUUUAUGUGAAUUUUAGGAUAAAUAGCUAUUUCUACAGUUUAAUGAUGAAUAAAGGUAUAAUGUUUUUUAUGAAUUUGGUAAUGUUUUUUAUAUUUAACGAAUAAAAUAAGGUGGACGCGAAUUACUACAUCGAAUUUUACAAAACUUCCACUUUGCGUCCACAAUGGACGCGAACUAAAACUAUCCUCUAUACCAGCCGUUCCCAAAUGGGGUUCCGCGGAACCCUGGUGUUCCGUGACAGGCCCUCAGGGGUUCCGUGGAAAAUUCAAGAUUUCCAUAUGGUAAAUCGUUUCACAAAUAUUGUCAAUAUUUAAUUAUUAUUCAUUUUCAAUUAGAUUGAUUUAAAUAUUGCAUUCCAAAACAUCCAUUCCAUUUAGGCACCAUGUAGGUGGGUACCUACAUGGUACUCGGGAAUGUAAGUCUCGUACUUUCGCGACAAGUGGCGGGGGAAGGCCACGGCAGCAGGUAAUUUAAUUCCGGUUUUUACAAAUUGUAGACUUAUACCUCCAGAUCUUCGGCAAUCGGCAAAAGUAGAUAGCGAGUCGGCCAAAAAUCACCGCAUUUUUUGGGCUUAUUUCAUCGCCAGGAUUAAACGUUUUCAUACAUUUGACAAGACGUGAAAUGACACGGCAUACGAGUAUUUCCAGUGGCUAUUUUACCAUGAAUCAAAGUGUGACAUUAUUUCCAAUUUUUGCACCUCCGCGAAUACGAAAAUUUCGCGCUCGCUUCGCUCGCGACUCCAUGUUGUGAUGCUUUUAUGUUCGUUUAAUUGCUCAAGUAUCCAACACCGAAAAAAUUUCGCGCUCUGCCGUCGAGGUUUCCUUUGAUAUUUAUUUUUUAUUCCUCUGGUUCAGAAAAAGCAAUAGCGCUUUCUUCGCUAGCUGCUUAAUCAUUUACAUUUGCUUUUUUGUGUGGAUAUUGUACUUUUUGAGACCUUAUUAAUUUAUAGUGGAUUUGUUUAUUUUGUGUAGGUACUUAAACUAAAAAAAAUUCGCGCUCGCUUCGCUCGCGAUACCGGCUACCACUGAAUGUCUUUCAAUGCUAGCGGGUGCUUGAAACUUCUUCUUUUAGUUAAAAAAAUCACGCUCGCUCGGCUCGCACCUGAACAAACCCAAUCUAUUUCUUUUUGCGUUUACUUUGUCAGUCUUCAAACUGAAAACUAUUCACAUAAUACACAAAGUCAAGGGCGGCUAAAUUGUUUACUGGCCCGUGUGGCAGAUAGCCAUGCUACGCCUGAGUAUAAUGAAUAUGUCUCUAACCAUAUAUAUGUCACCGUAAGAUUACAAACAUCGUUAGAUUACAAUCUAUCUCGAGAAAUUGUAAACUGUCGAAUUAUUGUAAACCGUAACACCUGAUUGCAAUUUAACGCAUUAUUUUUCGCUAUAUUAUAAUCUAUCGAUGAGAAAUUGUCAAAUUGUCAACUGUCCGAAAGCUCUCCCUGAUUGGUCAGUCUUUUUGUAAGAUCGAGAGCGAUGUAGAGCGGUCAAAUUGUUAACUGGCGUAGAACGGAAUGCAAUUUUUAAGACACAAAUUACACACAAUUAAAAAUUGUAUUAAAAAUUGAAGUUAGUGACGAAAACGAAUCGCUGCAAAACCGACUCCACGUAGUCUUGUCUGCCCUACCCCUAGAGUGCAAUUCAAAACCGCGUAGGCGCGGAGGGGCGAGGCGGCCUGCGAGCUGAGGCGCAAGUAGUUUCAGCGCUCGCCGCCGCGGCUGAGGCUGGCCGGCGGAGCCGGCCAGCAAGCCGAAGCUGCGGUGGUGAGCGUGAAAACCAUCUGCGACGAUAAGCUCGCAUGGGACCGCCGGAGCCCCGCAGCGCCGGAGCCGUGACAGAAGUUAUGCUUGCUGCAUGUUGUAAUUGUGGCAGACUUAGUAAUUUAGAAGGCAACAUACAUUUUUGGGGGCGAAUAAUGAUAUUAAAAAGAAGCCUGUUUAAUUAGCACCCCUUUUAUUUUAUUUUUAAAUAUUAGUUUGUAUUUGAAGACAAAAUACCUAACUGUAUUUUUAUAAGAGUUAUUUUUAUAUAAAUUUAAUACUUGAAGAAUUUUUGAA
This is a long non-coding RNA of Helicoverpa armigera (cotton bollworm), 2966 nucleotides long. RefSeq lists it as uncharacterized. The transcript has 2 exons. NCBI's taxonomy places the organism in Eukaryota, Metazoa, Arthropoda, Insecta, Lepidoptera, Noctuidae. The record is from RefSeq and is a predicted model, not a curated record.